GUGAGUAACACGUGGAUAACCUACUAUAAGACUGGGAUAACUUCGGGAAACCGGAGCUAAUACCGGAUGAUAUUUUGAACCGCAUGGUUCAAAAGUGAAAGACGGUCUUGCUGUCCCUUAUAGAUGGAUCCUGGCGCUGCAUUAGCUAGUUGGGUACGGUAACGGCUUACCAAGGCACGAUGCAUACCGACCUGAGAGGGUGAUCGGCCACACUGGAACUGAGACACGGUCCAGACUCCUACGGGAGGCACCAGUAGGGAAUCUUCCGCCAAUGGGCGAAAGCCUGACGGAGCGACGCCGCGUGAGUGAUGAAGGUCUUCGGAUCGUAAAACUCUGUUAUUAGGGAAGAACAUAUGUGUAAGUAACUGUGCACAUCUUGACGGUACCUAAUCAGAAAGCCACGGCUAACUACGUGCCAGCAGCCGCGGUAAUACGUAGGUGGCAAGCGUUAUCCGGAAUUAUUGGGCGUAAAGCGCGCGUAGGCGGUUUUUUAAGUCUGAUGUGAAAGCCCACGGCUCAACCGUGGAGGGUCAUUCGGAAACUGGAAAACUUGAGUGCCAGAAGAGGAAAGUGGAAUUCCCAUGUGUAACCGGUGAAAUGCGCAGAGAUAUGGAGGAACCACCCAGUGGCGAAGGCGACUCUUCUGGUCCUGUAACUGACCGCUGAUGUGCGAAAGCGGUGGGGAUCCAAACCAGGAUUAGAUACCCUGGUAGUCCCACGCCGUAAACGAUGAUGUGCUAAGUGUUAGGGGGUCUUCCGCCCCUUAGUGCUGCAGCUAACGCAUUAAGCACUCCGCCUGGGGAGUACGACCGCAAGGU
RNAcentral lists this ribosomal RNA (818 nucleotides) under uncultured Staphylococcus sp. RNAcentral's name for it is "bacterial SSU rRNA". It matches the Rfam family "Bacterial small subunit ribosomal RNA", at positions 106 to 894 of the family's 1533-position model. Lineage: Bacteria; Bacillati; Bacillota; Bacilli; Caryophanales; Staphylococcaceae. The record is from RNAcentral.